UUCAAGCAGAGCAGCAGGAUAUGCUUGCCAA
Molecule: non-coding RNA, 31 nt
Filed under: Mus musculus (house mouse)
Lineage: Eukaryota; Metazoa; Chordata; Mammalia; Rodentia; Muridae
Source: RNAcentral